RNAcentral lists this ribosomal RNA (483 nucleotides) under uncultured bacterium. RNAcentral's name for it is "bacterial SSU rRNA". It matches the Rfam family "Bacterial small subunit ribosomal RNA", at positions 228 to 732 of the family's 1533-position model. The record is from RNAcentral.
GACCCGCGUCUGAUUAGCUAGUGGUGAGGUAAUGGCUCACCAAGAAGAAAUUUCAGGGGGUCCGCUCAAGGGUGGCCACAUGUGGUUUAGUUUGAAACAAGGCCCAGACUCUUACCACAUUCAGCAAUGCCGAAUCUUCCGCAGAGAUGUAGAGCUUCAUUCAGGCAUUCCGACACGAUGAUGAAGUUGUUGUGAUCGUAUAAUCUUUUCAGAUGUGGCGAUAAUUCCGGCACCGAGAGCAGAAGUCCCGGUUAAUUUCUAGCCAGCAUCCGUGGUAAUUCGAACGGGGCCAGCGUUGGUAAGAAUUAGGAGGGUGAAAAGGAGGUCAGGUCGUCAUGUACGUUGCGGGGUGGAGCCCGGGGGUCAACCUAGGAAUUGCACUCAAGGCUGCAAUUCUGGGAGGCGGGGGCAGUGAGUGGAACUCGUAGUGUAGAGGUGAAAUUUGAAGAACUCGGAAGCACACCAGGGAAAAGGAGUAACCGU